Molecule: long non-coding RNA, 897 nt
Organism: Cyprinodon tularosa
Lineage: Eukaryota; Metazoa; Chordata; Actinopteri; Cyprinodontiformes; Cyprinodontidae
Exons: 3
Source: RefSeq, a predicted model, not a curated record
UUGCUCCAAGUGACAAAAGGUAGAGGUGAUCUUAAAUCCAUGUUCACUUCUUUACUCUGACUGUGCUGUGAUAUUCAUGACUAAUCUCUUUUUACAGAUAACAGUUUCUAAGCCACAGCUUGGCCUUCCUCUGCCCUCCUCUAUGCAUCCUUCAAGCUUAGGUGUCCACAGCUUGUAGACUUAUCAACAUCUACAAGUUAAACCUGCCUCAGUGCUGUUGAAGGAUCAAUUUCCCCUUCAUGUCUGCAUGCAACCACCUUCCCUCUCCAGCAGUGAUGGACUGCUGCUGACACAGGUUUUCCAACUGAGGUCCAGAAGUAAACAAAAAAAUACAACUUUGAUUUACUCUGCUUUACUGCUGAAGACCUCCAGCCAUCUUUACAAACCUGCAGCAGAUGGUGAGGAGGUAAAAGAGAGCUUUUGGACAAGCAGGUGGUGCAGUGGUUUACGCACAUGACCCAUGUAAGGAGGCCUUAGUCCUCAAUGCAGACAACAAGGGUUCGAAUCUGGACUGUGGUCCUUUCCCGCAUGUCUCCCCCCUCUCAUACCCCCUUUCCUGCAGCCUGAUGUUGGAAAAAUGCUCAGAGGUCUUGCAGCAGUGCUGGAAUGCCAGAGGAUGAGUGCAAAUGCAUGUGGAUGUUGCCAGGGGCUCCAGUGGAUGAUGGUUGUUGGGAGUGAACCUGGGACUGUGGGAUUUACUGCUGAACCCUCUGGAUGUGUCAUGGGCCUAUCAGUGACACCCCCAAGAAGGAGGGCGCACACUUGAGAACCUAAGGGAUACCUUAACCCACUUGAUGGCUAGUGAGUGCCUUAGGUUUUUGUUGGGAUAACACGAUCUUGUCCUACUCAACAGAUCUAAGUAAGAGAAACAACACAUUCAGAGUUAACCAAAGGCAA